Anopheles coustani is the source of this 485-nucleotide long non-coding RNA. RefSeq lists it as uncharacterized. The record is from RefSeq and is a predicted model, not a curated record. Lineage: Eukaryota; Metazoa; Arthropoda; Insecta; Diptera; Culicidae. The transcript has 4 exons.
ACUGUGUACGUGGACAGGGAGUUGGCCCAGCGCUCUUGUGCUGAUUUUCUAACCGGUCCGAACAAUUUGUUUCUGAAAACUAUCGCUUAAGAAACCACGUCCAUCGAAUGGGAGCGCUGUUCAUCUCCGGAAUGAAGUUGGAUCUUGGAAACCCUAAAAGGAACUCGUGAAAAGGGUAGACUUCAAGCAUAUGGACAUAUGGCUUGAGUUGUCGGUCCUCAACCAUUCAGAGGUCUACAUCACUAGGUUAGCUGCGAAGUUGGAUUCAAUAACCGUACUGCUGGCGUUAAUGCUCGCAGACGAAGAAGACUUCAAGGAUAUAUGACAUAGCGAACGCUUACAGUUCUACUGCCAAUAGAAAAACAGUUCGUUUCGGAGUAUCGGAGAGAACUCAUGACAAGGUUGCUCGGUGUGGACUGAUCGCAUAGGACAAAGUAUGACGAGCAAAGUGCUGUAACGUCUAUCCGAUAUUUGAAUAAAUUGUA